RNAcentral lists this ribosomal RNA (353 nucleotides) under Myersiella microps (Rio elongated frog). RNAcentral describes it as "partial 16S ribosomal RNA". It matches the Rfam family "Bacterial large subunit ribosomal RNA", at positions 1994 to 2515 of the family's 2925-position model. Lineage: Eukaryota; Metazoa; Chordata; Amphibia; Anura; Microhylidae. The record is from RNAcentral.
GAAUGGCAUCACGAGGGUUAAACUGUCUCCCUCUUUUAAUCAGUGAAACUGAUCUCCCCGUGAAGAAGCGGGGAUAUUUAUAUAAGACGAGAAGACCCCAUGGAGCUUUAAACUUAACACUACCUGCCAGCCCACAUACCUAAUCAAACAAGCAGAAUUAGAAGUUAGUUUUCGGUUGGGGUGACCGCGGAGCAAAACAAAACCUCCACGAUGAGUGACUUCUCAAUCAAAGAGCUACAACUCGAAGAAUCAACAAACUGACAUAAAUUGACCCAAUAUUACUUUGAUCAACGAACCAAGUUACCCUGGGGAUAACAGCGCAAUCCAUUUCAAGAGCUCCUAUCGACAAAUGG